GACGGAGGAUGCAAGCGUUAUCCGGAAUGAUUGGGCGUAAAGCGUCCGCAGGUGGCAGUUCAAGUCUGCUGUCAAAGACCGGGGCUUAACUUCGGAAAGGCAGUGGAAACUGAACAGCUAGAGUAUGGUAGGGGCAGAGGGAAUUCCGGGUGUAGCGGUGGAAUGCGUAGAGAUCCGGAAGAACACCGGUGGCGAAGGCGGCCUGCUGGGCAGUUUUACUGACACUGAGGCGCGACAGCGUGGGGAGCAAACAGG
Molecule: ribosomal RNA, 255 nt
Filed under: uncultured bacterium
Lineage: Bacteria
Description: partial 16S ribosomal RNA
Rfam family: Bacterial small subunit ribosomal RNA
Source: RNAcentral